RNAcentral lists this ribosomal RNA (492 nucleotides) under uncultured bacterium. RNAcentral's name for it is "partial 16S ribosomal RNA". It matches the Rfam family "Bacterial small subunit ribosomal RNA", at positions 29 to 507 of the family's 1533-position model. The record is from RNAcentral.
AGUGAACGCUGGCGGUAGGCCUAACACAUGCAAGUCGAACGGCAGCACAGUAAGAGCUUGCUCUUACGGGUGGCGAGUGGCGGACGGGUGAGGAAUACAUCGGAAUCUACUUUUUCGUGGGGGAUAACGUAGGGAAACUUACGCUAAUACCGCAUACGACCUACGGGUGAAAGCAGGAGAUCUUCGGACCUUGCGCGAUUGAAUGAGCCGAUGUCGGAUUAGCUAGUUGGCGGGGUAAAGGCCCACCAAGGCGACGAUCCGUAGCUGGUCUGAGAGGAUGAUCAGCCACACUGGAACUGAGACACGGUCCAGACUCCUACGGGAGGCAGCAGUGGGGAAUAUUCGGCAAUGGGCGCAAGCCUGAUCCAGCCAUACCGCGUGGGUGAAGAAGGCCUUCGGGUUGUAAAGCCCUUUUGUUGGGAAAGAACAGCAGCAGGUUAAUCCCCCGCUGUUCUGACGGUACCCAAAGAAUAAGCACCGGCUAACUUCGUG